UAAUACGUAGGUGGCAAGCGUUGUCCGGAAUUAUUGGGCGUAAAGCGCGCGCAGGUGGUUUCUUAAGUCUGAUGUGAAAGCCCACGGCUCAACCGUGGAGGGUCAUUGGAAACUGGGAGACUUGAGUGCAGAAGAGGAUAGUGGAAUUCCAAGUGUAGCGGUGAAAUGCGUAGAGAUUUGGAGGAACACCAGUGGCGAAGGCGACUAUCUGGUCUGUAACUGACACUGAGGCGCGAAAGCGUGGGGAGCAAACAGGAUUAGAUACCCUGGUAGUCCACGCCGUAAACGAUGAGUGCUAAGUGUUAGGGGGUUUCCGCCCCUUAGUGCUGCAGCUAACGCAUUAAGCACUCCGCCUGGGGAGUACGGUCGCAAGACUGAAACUUAAAUGAAUUGACGG
RNAcentral lists this ribosomal RNA (397 nucleotides) under uncultured bacterium. RNAcentral describes it as "bacterial SSU rRNA". It matches the Rfam family "Bacterial small subunit ribosomal RNA", at positions 521 to 916 of the family's 1533-position model. The record is from RNAcentral.